AGUAUUGAGUGAUAGUAACAAAUGAGUAAUGGCGGCGAAGCACGUUGUUUAUUUCGUGCAUGGAGAUAGCUGAUACUGAACAUUUUUCGAACUUUUUCCUCUUCUCCAUCAACAUCAAAUUGUUUUGAACAACAGCAGUGAUUACUGCAUUAACUGAAACGCUUAGAGCGUUUGUUCGUAGGCUACGGUUAGUUUGUUUAUCUUGCAGCAAUGGCGGAUGCCGUAGCGGUCAGAAAUCGUUAUCGCCGAAGACGAAGUUUUUGUAUCUUCUCAUCCGGGAUUGAUUGCUGAUGCUGUCCACUUUGAACCCUCUCAGCACUGGAACCUUCCAAAGUGAGCCGGAAAAUUUAUUGAUGGAAUGCGGAUUCAACUGUGCAACUGAGUGAACAGAACUCCUUGAACAGAAAAGGGAAGUUUGCCGCGAAUAUGCAAAUUGUUUGUGACAUUAAUUGUGAAAAAUUGGAAUCGUCCAAAGAUGGCCCAGUUGUACCUAUCAAUCUUAUUUAAUCUCUAUAUAUGAGGGCAGAAAUAAAAAAGGUACUGAUGAUGACAGCAAAGCAAACUAUUAAUUCGACAUUGGCAC
Uloborus diversus is the source of this 583-nucleotide long non-coding RNA. RefSeq lists it as uncharacterized. The record is from RefSeq and is a predicted model, not a curated record. NCBI's taxonomy places the organism in Eukaryota, Metazoa, Arthropoda, Arachnida, Araneae, Uloboridae. The transcript is spliced from 3 exons.